UACGUGGGUGGCAAGCGUUGUCCGGAUUUACUGGGCGUAAAGAGCGCGCAGGCGGUCGAGUAAGUCGCGUGUGAAAGCCCCCGGCUCAACUGGGGAGGGUCACGCGAUACUGUUCGACUCGAAGGCAGGAGAGGGUAGCGGAAUUCCCGGUGUAGUGGUGAAAUGCGUAGAUAUCGGGAGGAACACCAGUGGCGAAGGCGACUACCUGGCCUGUUCUUGACGCUGAGGCGCGAAAGCUAGGGGAGCAAACGGG
RNAcentral lists this ribosomal RNA (253 nucleotides) under uncultured bacterium. Its description in RNAcentral is "partial 16S ribosomal RNA". It matches the Rfam family "Bacterial small subunit ribosomal RNA", at positions 524 to 776 of the family's 1533-position model. The record is from RNAcentral.